CUGCAAGACCCCAGGAGAGUCCACCAAGGAGAAUUUCCCCGGGCCAGGUUAGUCCCAGAUGACUUUUCCACAGUCACUGGCCCGUGAUCAGGUACGGCAGGAGUCUCCCUGAAUCUGGACAGAAUCACCGUGCAGGUCCAGGCUCACCGCAAAUACUGUCAAGCUCUAUCACUGCUCGCAGCUCACCAAGAUGAUCGUGGACCCUGAAAAGGACAAAGGACACAUUGCCCUGGACUUCCUACUGCCGAGGUGGACUUGGGACCCAAGAUCACUGCAGCCAGUCAGAGCCGAUGCUAGCUGGAACAGACGCCGCCAAGACUAGGACCAGGGUCGCACGUGGCUUCUGGCAGCAGGACUGUUUUGCAGGGCUCAUUUGUAAGCAAACCUGGGGGUGGGGUGCUUAGGGCCUGCCCAUGGGCGGUGCUCAUAGCUCCUGCACCGCACUCGAGGCGAAGAUGCUGCAUUUACAGCUCCAUUUUACCCAAGAGAAUGAUCAUGCUCAUGCAUUGCCUGAGACUGGGGUAGAUUUGCAAAGGCUCGCCCUUGGCCACUUUCGCUGACACCAAGCUGCCCCACAUCCGAAUCUCAGACCUGCUGGGCCUUGUACCUUCUUAGGAAUGCCGUCAGGCUGCAGCUGCAGCACAUGUGGAUUAGUGUGAGCCUACACCCUCUGCCUAGCGCUGUGAUGAUGGGACUCAGAACGCGAGGAGCUGUGCUGAGUGGGGAAAAGGGAUGGGUGCGGUCAGUGUCUAGGCCCCAAGUCUCAUGCUGUGUGGAUCAAGACAGAAAGUCACAGCCAUGGGAAACUGAUAAUCUCGGGGAGGGCACUGCAGGGCCACUCAAGCUUGACAGAUACAGACUGAAAUCCGAGUUUGUUCCGCUGUUUGCUUGUAAAGGCACUGCUUGGUUCCAGAAUGGGGCUCGGGUCUCCUGCUGGGAUCUCUGGCUUGCUUAUGGAGCAUCCGGCUUGCGCUUGAUGCUGACCACACUGUGACGGGCCAGGACCUGAGCUCCCAGACAAAAUCUCCUCUUAGUUUUAUGCCCUGCUCUCUGGGGGAUGGAAUUUUACUUCUUUUGCUGACAAAGUCCAGAGCUGGAUAGAGGAAGCAGUCUCUUCUCAGCCUGGAGAGCACGGUUCCAAAGCUGAGUCGAUGUGCCAUGGGCCCCUGGCAGCCGUCGUGGUGCCUUGCCCGGCCCUAGGUUUUCCAUGUUUGGGGUGACAGCAUCCACGAUGAAGAAGCAGAUGUAUUUUACACGAAGGGCUUCAUUCAAGGCAGGACACAUAACAAGUAUGUGUUCAUCUUAGAGUUUCCUUUUUGUUCUUUCAGAAGCAUCCCCACAUUCUAUGCUGUACCCCAGAUGCUCGUAAGAUAACCAUGCAGUAUCUUAAAACCACAGUGCCUAAUGCUGAUUUGGGCUCUGUAGUUUUAAAUGAUGACAUGAUACACGCUUAGCUACCUGGCUAUUGGGUUUAGACAGAUGUGUUUAUGUUUUCCAACUUUGCUAUUGGAAAUGGUACGUCAUGAUGUCCAGGGAAAAUCCUAAAAUUCAGGGACCUUCUGGAAAAGUGAAUUACUGUUGUUUCAAGAAACGGAAGACUAAAGCGAAACAUAAACUCUGAAAGAUAAGGAGUAAAAACAAACCAUCAAGAUUUACUAGUGCAGACUGAAUGACCAUAAAUAAGUGUAAGAGUUAGUUUCAGGAUAUAUAAGGUGACGGGAAAGAAACUGAUUUAAAUAAUAAAGCUGAUGGAAAUAGGAGUGAGGAGAGAAAUUAUUAAUAUUGACGGCACAGCUAUUACUUGCUGUUGUUUUCACACACAGCGGUUCAUAUUAAUAUUUCAAUAGUCUUGUAGAUCUACAAAUAUAAUUCUGCACUGUAGCAAUCGGUGAGAGAGGUUGCGUGAACCAUCGUUGAAUGACUGGGACUGUAUCACAGACUUCUGUGACUACACAGCCCGCUGAGAGUGCAGGUGGGAAAAAUGUUUGCUUUGAGCUACAGGAUUAAAAUUGUCGUGACUGCAGCUUCUAGGGAGGCAACUGUUUUUAAAGAGUGGGUGGAAAAACAGUUUAAGAACAAAGGAUCUUGGGUAUUAAAUACUGAAGUUUUCGCAAGUAAUGCUGGUCCUGUCAGAAAAGCGAUGUGGAUACAUAGAGGCUGCAUGCAUUCAUAGAAUUUUUUGGGAUGCAAAUACGCACAGAAGGAAUGCUUAAGGGAUUAUGAAGGGAGAAGCAGGAUAAAUGUUAAUGAGGUGUGUGCAUUUAUAUUUGUAGGAAAGAAUGGAAAUCUCGGAAAUAAGUUACAGGAAUAUUCUCAGUAGAGAACAGAAUGUCGAAAGCACACUGUUGUGGAAAGCUAGGAUGUAUCCUCAGAACUAAAAGAACAUUGGUAUUAAAAGAUGAAAAAAGAAACCAUAAUUAUCAGAAGUCAGUGGUUAGACAAUUGAUGGAGUUAUUGAAUAAGUUUAAUUCACGAAUGAUAUUGGCUAAAAAUGUGAAGUAAUUAUACACACGAGUAUCAAAUAUGUACUUAGAAUAUGUUAAUUUCAAUAUCCUUCAAUGAUUAUUUUCAAUUUUAUUUUUAUGCAACGUAAUGAUCUGGCUUGCAUAAUGAAUACUAGUUAUGAGACAGUUUAAGGUGGAACGAAUCAUCAUCUACUGGAUAGUUUGAGAAAUUGUCUGGUGACUUACAUGUUCCUCAGUGUUUCUGAUCAGUAGAGCCUGACCCCUUGCUACCCAAGCCGCUGGGUGGAUGGGGAGGGCGUUUGUAUGAAAGUGGAGUUCUAACUAGAGGGAGAGAAGUGUAAAUAUGGAAAAAAAAAUGACUCCAGUAAACUUAUCCAUUGUCUUUCACCUGAUUUUGCCUAAAACCUGCCCUAUCCCUUGGCUUCUUAGUUAUUUCUUUCUAUUUAUUUGCUUUUUUUUCUACUGGGAAUUGAACUGAUGACUGUGUGCUUGCAAGGCAGGUGCUUAUGCUGCUGAGCUAAAUCCACAGCCCCUUUUAUUUGCUUUUACCUACGAAAUCUGAGUUGUAUUUUCUAUCUGUGGAUUCCAAAUUGAGGCAAAGGAGGGCGAAGCGAUGGAGAGCUUACUGGAUAAAAGGGAGUUACUGGCUCUUCAGGGCGGGAGCUGUAAGAGCCGCAUACUUAAGACCUCAGAUUCCUGCUGCCCAGAAACUUUACAGGCUUUGAGAGACCUUCCAUGCACCCCACCUCCAGUGUGUGCAACAGCUUAGGGAACAUUAAUAUUUGCAUCUGUUUGUGUUCCCAGAGAGAUGGAGGUGCAGCAUUUUCACCGGUGUUUCAACAAAAUCUGUGAUCUGUAAAUUUGAAAGGAAAAUUAAUCACUUGGCCUUUUGGCCAAGAUCAAGUGUAAGGAAAAUUAAGUGCAUACAGCAUUAAAUUCAAACACACGCUCUUUGGGAUAAUGAGCUUUCUCUAUUUACAGGAUUACUGAAGGCAGUUUCAAAAAUUAUGACAAUAAAAUUUGAAUGCUAGGGGGCUGUGUAAUAGCAUUUUUCCAUUUUUAGCUUAAAUUCAAAGCAAGAUUCUUUGAAAUGCAUUUAUUUUUGUUCUGAGAUAUAAGAUAUGCAGGUGUAAUUAACUUCAGAUCAUUAUAAAUCAAUUAUCCCUGAGAUUAAGAGAGCGCUGACACUUGUAGUGACAUUUUCAUCAUCGGCUUUUGACAGAGACACGUAUACACACUUUUUAAAAUAGCAGCAAAUUAGAGAUCCAGUGGAGAAGUUUGAUAUAUGGUAAUCUUUUCAGAACAAAUUUAAGCUUGUUCUAAAAAUAUUUCAUAAAGGUAUAAAACAUGGUUUGCAUGAUUACUGUGACUUUCUCUGAUUUUCUACCUAAAUAAUUUAUGCCACAGUAAUUUCCAUGGAACAAAUAUGCCAACAUUUUAUCUUAAUAUUUUUGUUUUCACAGAACUCUUUUGCUUAUGAAUUUUAAUCACCAAGCAACCUAAUUUUGUUGACUAGUGGUAUGCGAAGGUUUGUAUUAAUGAUAUUUUACACAUUGCUGUUUUACAAUACAUAUUUUCACCACAGGAAAAAAAGGAUAUUUGAUUAGAGAAUUCAAAUUUACAGAAUGAUAGAGAAACAAAAUUUAGAGGUAAAGAGAAAUAACAUUUUGGAAUGAGGUUGUCCUUUUUGUGUUGCAAAUUCUACUCAAAUUCAAAUCACUAAACCUUGAGUGAUUUCUUUUGGUUUGCAUAUAUAUAUAUAUAUAUAUAUAUAUAUAUAUAUAUAUAUAUAUUAGCAUAUUCCCCUGACAUGAACAUAACUGGCUAGUAGGGUCUGUUUAAUGUGGCAGGAGAGGCUGCUCCCUGAAGCUGCUGAUUUCUUGUGUGGUGCGCCCACCUACUGGAUUAAGCAUUGCCAACUGAAGAGUGGCGUGCCUCAGGGUGUGUGGCUGAGGUGUCCAGAGAGCACUAGUGGUCAGCCAGCAGGUGGAGGGGCAGCACCCAUCCUGACUUCGCUUCGAACCGUCUUGCAGCCUGGAUGAAGUGAAGCCUGCUUUGGGAAGUCUCCAUGCCGCUUGCUGCACGUGUUUUGGCUGCUGCCAGUGCCUGUGAACACGCACUCGGAGUUCUCCAGCCUUUUAAGGAUCCCGACCAGAGACUCAAGGGAGCUUCCAGGUCUUCAGCCUUGGACUGUCGCUACAUCAUUGAAACCCCUUGUUCUGAUGCUUCUGGCUUUUCCUACUAAGCAGCUCCUGGAAACUCUGGGUCAGCAGGGUGCCAUCAUGCACCAUAGGCAGUCCCACCACUAAUUCUACGAGCUAUCUAAUAAAUAUGCUUGCAUUAUUCCAUAAGUAUUUUAUUGUUUCAAUUCCUGAGAAUUCAAUUCCUCUACAAUGUGUGGACUGUAAGUCUCCUUUCUUAGUCCUUCAUUUAUAGGCAUGCAGGUAUUACUCAAUUUGAUGGGAGCUAAUAAAUGAAAAUGACUCAAAAUCUUUCAAAGUACAUUGACAAAAUUUCUACUUUCUAUAGGAAUAAGUAUAUUCUGGAGAAAGAGAUGGCAUUUUUCUUUCUUAUUUUGCUUUGUUUUAGGUAGAGUCUUGAGAACUGUAAUGGCUGAUACAUUGUGCCAACUUGAGAAGUUCAGAAGUUUAACCAAGUGACUCACCAGUUCUAUAUCCUAGGGUAUAGAAGACAUGCCCUAGGGCAGCUGCUUAUGCUCUAGGAUGUUGUAAUGGUUGAUUGAUUGUGUGAAUUGGAGAAGUUUAGAAGUUAAGGGAUUCAGCAGGGAGCUUGGGUACUCAUUUUGUAAACAUACUGAGUCUGUGCAAGAGGAGGGCAAGAAGAUGGUGUGAAUGCUACACCCACUGAGUGUAACUUGCAUACAAUGUAAGGGAAGAAAAGAGGCUUUCUCUCCCAGUUCCACAUUUUUUCAUUUUUUAUAUCUUCUACCACCAUGAACUGUUGCCCCUCUGCCAUGCUGCCUUGCCUUGGCCCCAGCUAAUUAUAGACUGAACCCUCCACAAACUAUUAGCUGAAUAAAUCUUUCCUUCCUUAACUGAGUGUUGGGUAUUUUGCCUCAGUAAUGUGAGAAAAGUGACUAAGACCAGAACUAAGCAUAUAUUUAUUCCUAGAGAAAAAAAUAAUUGAAGUGAAUUAAUAAAUAUAGGAUGAUUAUUCUGCAAUUUUACAUAGUUAAAUUUGACUUUUGCAAAAGACAGAAUCAAUCUGAUUCUUGAAGUCUGACAUUUUUUCCUUUAAGGUCCUGGAAAAGGUGAAGUAAUGGAUCUUUCACACUCAUUAUGACUCUAAUGAAUUUCUUCCAAAUAGCCCAUUGCUGUAGCUUCUACAAUUCUGGCCAUAGUUCAGUAGACCUGGAAAGGUUACAAAAUGAAAAGGAAGGUGAAGAGCAUCAUGAAUGCAUGCAGGAAGAGGGCUGUUAGUAAUUCAUUGGUUCAUUUAGAUUCUUAUGGAUCAUGGAUUUCCACGGUAACUAAUGUUUCUUCCAUGGAUUAGAGAACAUAUAAUUUAGAGGUGUUCAGAUUGUCUCCAUUUCUUGAAAUUAAAUGAAUGCAAAUAGUAAUCAUGGCUAUAUUUUGCUAUGUUUUGUGAUAAUGUAAUACAGUGGAGUAUUCCAGAAAGUUGUGGUCUCCAUUAAAGAAAGCACUAAAAUGAUUCUGGCUCAAUACUUAAUACCUAGUUGGUGCUCACUAUAUAUUUAUAAAAGGAAUGCAGUAAGUGACUGUGUGCAGGUGCAGAAGUACAACAAGGAAUUAGAAACAAGGAAGCAAAGAACUAAAUACUUUUACUCAGUAAACUAAUAUGAAAUCAACUUUGGAUAACAGGCACACACUAAAACUUUCAAAAUCAACAUUUGUAGGUCACUAACUGCAUUAAAGAGUGAAAGAAAAUUGGAUGUAGAAUUGGAAGCAUUGCUUAGAGAUUUCCUAAGAAUUGAAUAUAAAAGGUUCUAGAAUAAAAGACAGGAAUGGGAAUAUUACUACUUUCCUUCCUUAAUAUUUGUAACUUGGUUUCUUGGUGGUUAUAAGUGAAUAAAAAGUCAUAUUUUAAGAA
Cavia porcellus (domestic guinea pig) is the source of this 6536-nucleotide long non-coding RNA. RefSeq lists it as uncharacterized. The record is from RefSeq and is a predicted model, not a curated record. Lineage: Eukaryota; Metazoa; Chordata; Mammalia; Rodentia; Caviidae. The transcript is spliced from 2 exons.